RNAcentral lists this ribosomal RNA (460 nucleotides) under uncultured bacterium. Its description in RNAcentral is "bacterial SSU rRNA". It matches the Rfam family "Bacterial small subunit ribosomal RNA", at positions 338 to 795 of the family's 1533-position model. The record is from RNAcentral.
CCUACGGGGGGCAGCAGUGAGGAAUAUUGGACAAUGGGCGCAAGCCUGAUCCAGCCAUGCCGCGUGCAGGAUGACGGUCCUAUGGAUUGUAAACUGCUUUUGCACAGGAAGAAACAACGCUACGUGUAGCGUCUUGACGGUACUGUGAGAAUAAGGAUCGGCUAACUCCGUGCCAGCAGCCGCGGUAAUACGGAGGAUCCAAGCGUUAUCCGGAAUCAUUGGGUUUAAAGGGUCCGUAGGCGGCUUUAUAAGUCAGUGGUGAAAUCUCCCCGCUCAACGGGGAAACGGCCAUUGAUACUGUAAGGCUUGAAUUAUUAGGAAGUAACUAGAAUAUGUAGUGUAGCGGUGAAAUGCUUAGAGAUUACAUGGAAUACCAAUUGCGAAGGCAGGUUACUACUAAUUGAUUGACGCUGAUGGACGAAAGCGUGGGUAGCGAACAGGAUUAGAUACCCCGGUAGUC